UGGAAAUUGGGUACUCUUCCACCUGGCUUGAUCACCUUUUACUCAACAACAAAAUCAUUGGACAAGGCUUGGCAUGUGCUUGGCCUUGGGUACAAUCCAAGUAUUAGCAUGGAUGAGAUCAACAAGGCUGCNNNNCAAUGGAAACAUGAAACCUUGGCUUGACAUCGCCAUGAAUCAAUACAAGAGUCUUUGGACUAAAUAUGUG
Molecule: unclassified non-coding RNA, 205 nt
Filed under: Hevea brasiliensis (rubber tree)
Lineage: Eukaryota; Viridiplantae; Streptophyta; Magnoliopsida; Malpighiales; Euphorbiaceae
Source: RNAcentral